This 88-nucleotide microRNA precursor is filed under the name Marmota monax (woodchuck). The record is from RNAcentral. Lineage: Eukaryota; Metazoa; Chordata; Mammalia; Rodentia; Sciuridae.
UGUGUGUGUGUGUGUGUGUGUGUGUAUGUGGGUGGAUUCUCUCUCUCUCUCUCUCUCUCACACACACACACACACACACACACACACA